RNAcentral lists this ribosomal RNA (460 nucleotides) under uncultured bacterium. RNAcentral's name for it is "partial 16S ribosomal RNA". It matches the Rfam family "Bacterial small subunit ribosomal RNA", at positions 338 to 795 of the family's 1533-position model. The record is from RNAcentral.
CCUACGGGCGGCAGCAGUGAGGAAUAUUGGUCAAUGGACGAGAGUCUGAACCAGCCAAGUAGCGUGAAGGAUGACUGCCCUAUGGGUUGUAAACUUCUUUUAUAAAGGAAUAAAACGAGGCACGUGUGCCUUUUUGCAUGUACUUUAUGAAUAAGGAUCGGCUAACUCCGUGCCAGCAGCCGCGGUACUACGGAGGAUCCGAGCGUUAUCCGGAUUUAUUGGGUUUAAAGGGAGCGUAGAUGGGUUGUUAAGUCAGUUGUGAAAGUUUGCGGCUCAACCGUAAAAUUGCAAUUGAUACUGGCAGUCUUGAGUACAGUUGAGGUAGGCGGAAUUCGUGGUGUAGCGGUGAAAUGCUUAGAUAUCACGAAGAACCCCGAUUGCGAAGGCAGCUUACUAAACUGUGACUGACAUUGAUGCUCGAAAGUGUGGGUAGCAAACAGGAUUAGAUACCCUUGUAGUC